AAAAAGAUAAACUCUGGGUUUCCAUGUCCAAUGUUUGACCAUCCAUCUUAUUUGAAAAAAUAUUAAAAAAAUUAAAAAGACAAGUCACGUAUAAAGUAUUAAUCAUGUUUUAUCAUCUAACAACAAUGAAAAUACUAAUUAUACAAAAAUUUCAUAUAAGACGGACAGUCAAACGUUGGACACGGAAAUCCAUGGUUUAUCUUUUU
This 206-nucleotide microRNA precursor is filed under the name Oryza meridionalis. RNAcentral describes it as "MIR812 microRNA precursor family". It matches the Rfam family "MIR812 microRNA precursor family". Lineage: Eukaryota; Viridiplantae; Streptophyta; Magnoliopsida; Poales; Poaceae. The record is from Rfam by way of RNAcentral.